RNAcentral lists this long non-coding RNA (1271 nucleotides) under Ursus maritimus (polar bear). Its description in RNAcentral is "lncRNA (ENSUMAG00000023551.1)". The record is from RNAcentral. Lineage: Eukaryota; Metazoa; Chordata; Mammalia; Carnivora; Ursidae.
CCCAGCUCCAGGACACAGGGACAGCGGAGAGGGGCAACGAGCAAAUCAGAGGCAGAAGAAGAUGCUGAAACAGAGACCCGGGCCCAAAGUGAGGUGGAGACUGACGGGUGAUGUGUGUUCACAAGGGAGGAGCCCAGUGUGGGCUGCUCGGUGCUGCAUCCCGGAGAGCCUACACAAUGCUUCCCAAGAGUGGGAGCUGCGCUUGAGGAAAUCAGUAAGACCCUCACAGAAACAGGGACCAAGCCAUGAAUCAGCAAGCCUAACCAGAUAGCCAGCCACCACCACGGCCACAUCACCUACCCUCACCAUAAAGGAACACCCAGAGGCCAGAAGAUAACCACCCAGGAGACCCUCAGCAGCCCACACCCACGUAUCUCUCAGCCCCUGGGGGAGUUGGCUCCACAGUUCAGCUGCAGAGAGAGAGCUCUGCUCUCCUCUCACCUAGGAAGGCUGGGAAGGGCCAGGCUUCCUCGGCCCCAACUCCUCACCAUGAUUUAUGGAGAGUGGCCCCCCAGGAAGGAAGCCUCAAUCAAGGACCUGCCAAGAAACACAAUAACUUAAUGAAUUAAGCUCCAUUUGGAUGGUCUGGGUUUUUUUUUUUCCCCCUCUGCCACAACUGUAUCUUGAUUCCAGAGGUGUGUCUCUGGUGGAGCCCCCAGUAAACACAUUGUCUGGUUUCUGAACAACUGGGGGAGGGGAGUUGAAAAAUUAAAAAGAAAAGGAAAGAAAAAGAACCCACCAGGAUGCAACAAUGGGGACAUUGUCCUUAUGGACGACCUCGUGACCUUAUGUUGCUGCCAGAGAGAACACCCCAAAGUCCAGGAAAACAGCAGAAGAAUGGUCAUGAAUCAAGCUUCCUGCUACUGGAUGUGUUUACCUCUUGUAGGAGCGUAUUUGAUGUUGUCUGAGGAAGCUGUCCUUUCAGGACCUUUCCCAGGACACGAGAGACCGAGAGACCGAGAAAGGUGACCUCUGUCACAUAGGGAGGGUCAGGAUAGAGCCUGAGGGUUGGGGGAUGGGGGAGGGUCCUCCAGCUGAAGAAGCCACAGUCCUUGUACCUGGCUAGUGGGCUGGGUUCAUGUUACUGCCUCUGCUUAUUUCCCCUAUGUCGUCCCUGAAAUUGGAGCAGUCUUUGUUCCAUCUUGACCCAGCUGUGUUUAGGGAUAUCGAGGCAGUGAUCCCAGUUGCAGCUUAGGCUCGGCCAGCCGCCUCAAGCCAGCAGGGUGUGGCCACAGAGCUCUUUAGGGGCUGAGCCAAGGGAAGCAGCAUCC